AGUGAACGCUGGCGGUAGGCCUAACACAUGCAAGUCGAACGGCAGCACAGUAAGAGCUUGCUCUUACGGGUGGCGAGUGGCGGACGGGUGAGGAAUACAUCGGAAUCUACUUUUUCGUGGGGGAUAACGUAGGGAAGCUUACGCUAAUACCGCAUACGACCUACGGGUGAAAGCAGGGGAUCUUCGCACCUUGCGCGAUUGAAUGAGCCGCUGUCGGAUUAGCUAGUUGGCGGGGUAAAGGCCCACCAAGGCGACGAUCCGUAGCUGGUCGGAGAGGAUGAUCAGCAACACUGGAACUGAGACACGGUCCAGACUCCUACGGGAGGCAGCAGUGGGGAAUAUUGGACAAUGGGCGCAAGCCUGAUCCAGCCAUACCGCGUGGGUGAAGAAGGCCUUCGGGUUGUAAAGCCCUUUUGUUGGGAAAGAAAAGCAGCAGGUUAAUACCCCGCUGUUCUGACGGUACCCAAAGAAUAAGCACCGGCUAACUUCGUG
Molecule: ribosomal RNA, 492 nt
Filed under: uncultured bacterium
Lineage: Bacteria
Description: partial 16S ribosomal RNA
Rfam family: Bacterial small subunit ribosomal RNA
Source: RNAcentral